Molecule: ribosomal RNA, 429 nt
Filed under: bacterium
Lineage: Bacteria
Description: partial 16S ribosomal RNA
Rfam family: Bacterial small subunit ribosomal RNA
Source: RNAcentral
UGGGGAAUAUUGGACAAUGGGCGCAAGCCUGAUCCAGCCAUACCGCGUGGGUGAAGAAGGCCUUCGGGUUGUAAAGCCCUUUUGUUGGGAAAGAAAAGCAAUCGAUUAAUAUCCGGUUGUUCUGACGGUACCCAAAGAAUAAGCACCGGCUAACUUCGUGCCAGCAGCCGCGGUAAUACGAAGGGUGCAAGCGUUACUCGGAAUUACUGGGCGUAAAGCGUGCGUAGGUGGUUGUUUAAGUCUGUUGUGAAAGCCGUGCGCUCAACCAGGGAAUUGCAGUGGAUACUGGGAAACUAGAGUGUGGUAGAGGGUAGUGGAAUUCCCGGUGUAGCAGUGAAAUGCGUAGAGAUCGGGAGGAACAUCCAUGGCGACGGCAGCUACCUGGACCAAGCCUGACACUGAGGCACGAAAGCGUGGGGAGCAAACAGG